Mesocricetus auratus (golden hamster) is the source of this 613-nucleotide long non-coding RNA. RefSeq lists it as uncharacterized. The transcript is spliced from 3 exons. Lineage: Eukaryota; Metazoa; Chordata; Mammalia; Rodentia; Cricetidae. The record is from RefSeq and is a predicted model, not a curated record.
GUUUGCUAUUUUGAAUUGAGAUUGUGUCAUUCUGGUCAGCUGGUGCUAAAGAGUCAGACAUCAUUAACAAGAGACCAGCAACACUGAAGUGAAACCUUUACAUCACUGGGAAAACUGAUGCUGGUUACCUGGGGCUAAGACAUUAGCAGUGAUUGAGAAGACUCCAGCAUUGAAGUAAAGUCUUCUGGGAAGUGUUUCUUCAAGGUCCACUUAAAAUUUACAGGAUGCACAACUACAUAUAUUAAGGGCACUGAUACCUGCACAUGAUGACUCUACAAGCACAACAAAUAUUCACUGAUAGAACAUCUCAUAUGCUUCAUGUUAUCAGUUGCUUCCUUUUUUUAAAAUGUCACUCCAUCCACCAGCCAGCACCAGUACCAUGUGGAGUCCAUCAGGAACCUAGAGCUGCUUGCUUAUCAGACAACGCAUCCUGCACUCUGAUCUGGAAGAGUCCUCUCAGGAGUCGGGACUGUAGCACCAGCACCAUGUGUAACAUGACUCAGAACCUAAGCCCUGCUAUCCAAGAGCCAGCAGCAGAGCCGGGCAAACUUUCUACAAACUUCUGGGGAUCAGCGUGAGUACAUGGUAUGUACUCAUUCAUAGAUGGUUAUCA